RNAcentral lists this ribosomal RNA (253 nucleotides) under uncultured bacterium. RNAcentral describes it as "partial 16S ribosomal RNA". It matches the Rfam family "Bacterial small subunit ribosomal RNA", at positions 524 to 776 of the family's 1533-position model. The record is from RNAcentral.
UACGUAGGCAGCGAGCGUUGUUCGGAUUUACUGGGCGUAAAGCGCGUGUAGGCGGCUUGGCAAGUUGAAUGUGAAAGCCCACGGCUCAACCGUGGAAGCGCAUCCAAAACUGCUUCGCUCGAGUCUCGGAGAGGAAGGUGGAAUGCUUGGUGUAGAGGUGAAAUUCGUAGAUAUCAAGCAGAACACCUGCGGCGAAGGCGGCCUUCUGGACGAUGACUGACGCUGAGACGCGAAAGCGUGGGGAGCAAACAGG